Molecule: long non-coding RNA, 369 nt
Organism: Jaculus jaculus (lesser Egyptian jerboa)
Lineage: Eukaryota; Metazoa; Chordata; Mammalia; Rodentia; Dipodidae
Exons: 3
Source: RefSeq, a predicted model, not a curated record
AGGACCGGCUAAGCAGCCUCUCCUUGUUGCACCCCAUCGCCCUGAAGCUUUCUCUCUGUGUGUCUGGAGCUGACCCAAAAGCUCAUUGGCCUCCCCAUGUGCCUCCCGGGCUGCAGGCAGAGUUUUUGGCAUCAGAAUGACUUUCCAUGCUUAUACUACCUGGUGAGCUCCUGUCAUAAGACCCAAAUCAUCAGAGUCCUGCACUUACUUCUUCAGUGAGGCCUCCAGACUCCUUCAGGGGAGAGCAGGAACCGCAGUUCCCCACUACCACAAAUUAUGCAGUCCAGUUUCCCGCAUUUGGGGUCAGCACAUCCGGAGGGCAAUGGAUAAGCCUCACCCUGGGAAAACCACCUUUGUGAACAUUAUUAC